AGUGAACGCUGGCGGUAGGCCUAACACAUGCAAGUCGAACGGCAGCACAGUAAGAGCUUGCCCUUACGGGUGGCGAGUGGCGGACGGGCGAGGAAUACAUCGGAAUCUACUUUUUCGUGGGGGAUAACGUAGGGAAACUUACGCUAAUACCGCAUACGACCUACGGGUGAAAGCAGGGGAUCUUCGGACCUUGCGCGAUUGAAUGAGCCGAUGUCGGAUUAGCUAGUUGGCGGGGUAAAGGCCCACCAAGGCGACGAUCCGUAGCUGGUCUGAGAGGAUGAUCAGCCACACUGGAACUGAGACACGGUCCAGACUCCUACGGGAGGCAGCAGUGGGGAAUAUUGGACAAUGGGCGCAAGCCUGAUCCAGCCAUACCGCGUGGGUGAAGAAGGCCUUCGGGUUGUAAAGCCCUUUUGUUGGGAAAGAAAAGCAGCAGGUUAAUACCCCGCUGUUCUGACGGUACCCAAAGAAUAAGCACCGGCUAACUUCGUG
Molecule: ribosomal RNA, 492 nt
Filed under: uncultured bacterium
Lineage: Bacteria
Description: partial 16S ribosomal RNA
Rfam family: Bacterial small subunit ribosomal RNA
Source: RNAcentral